RNAcentral lists this ribosomal RNA (1053 nucleotides) under Triticum aestivum (bread wheat). RNAcentral describes it as "partial small subunit ribosomal RNA". Lineage: Eukaryota; Viridiplantae; Streptophyta; Magnoliopsida; Poales; Poaceae. The record is from RNAcentral.
AUGGGUAUGCAGGCUAUGAUGAAUGUCCGGUGCACGAAUCUAGUCAACCCUGUAUGCGACUGGCUUGGUGAGAUUUACGACCCCGCCUCCAGGGAAUUUGUGAUUUCGGGACGUGGAAGACUGCCGUUGAACGAGGAAUCUGUGUUCUGCACUUUGGGUGUGCCCCGUGGACAAAUCAAAGUCCCAUAUGAGGUCAAUAACAAGAUCGAGGAAGCGUUGUUCCCCCGUUUGUUUCCUGGGUUGGAAUCCAUGCCGAACACGUCAGUACUGGCAGAUUCACUGCAGGCCAUGACAACCCAUGGCGAGGUUUUUAAGAUGAAACUACUCAUGUACCUCAUCUCAGCUGUUUUUGCGGCGACCACUUCUCUUCGCCCAAGCAACAAAUGCUUCCCCAUCCUGGCGAAACUGAAAGAUGUGAAGAACAUGAAUUGGUGUAAGUUCAUUGCCGACUUCCUGCAUGAUGCAUUCUCAAGCAAGAUGUACCAGAAGGGUUGUCGACUGCAUUUAAUGCUCAUGUGCGUCGACUGUCUUGAUCUGUCCACCAUGGAUUUCACUGGGACAGGAGGCCUACCGCAUACGCACAAGUUUGCUGUUUUUGCAUGGACUGUCGAUGCUGUCAAGGCUGUGCUUGCUGCAGACUGGGUAACUGAUACCAAAUAUGGAAAACUGCAGCUGAUGGCCAAGCAUGCUAUUGACUACAGCGUGUUUGGGGGGGCUCAAAACUUUGGAAAGUGGAUGGACGUGCACUCAGCUCCAUCUUGCCCUACUGAGGCCAGGGCACCUGUUGAGCAUCUAAUUGGGCAGUUUGCAUCCGGAAUGACCGGCUUGCUCGGGAAGUUGGUUGAGGGGUGGACGUCCCUUAAUGGCUCCUACAGCGACGCGGUUGCGAGGCAGUUCACUACAUUUGUCCCAGAAUGGACACAUCAGCCAACUGGUUGUCGUGGCCGGUAUGACUACAACAGUUCCCAAGAGCUUGCUGACACACAAGAUGAACUAGAUGGAGACGCUGGUCUCAGCAAGGAUGACGACCAUGACAUGGAGAACGUGCAAUAG